CCUGUCCGUCUGGCAAUGGAAGGGUUCUUCUUCUGCUAUUUACCUUCUGCGUUACAAUUGGAUGCAGGACACUCCUGAAGACACGUCACGACAAAUGCCACGAUGAACCAGUGAUUGCAAAACAUCAUUUUUUUGAGGAGCCUACCGUAGCUACGUAUUUGCUACGAUGUGUAAAACUUAACUGGGCUACAUGUCAAGACCUCCUCUGCAUAAAGCCUGGAUAAGGCCAAUUGUUACCGUGACCGUUACAUCCCCAAAAAAAUUGUUAUCGCGUUUGCAUUUCACACCCAAUUGUUUCACCCAUGUUACCUGUUGGGCCUCGAUCGCUGUACUUUGAGAGCAAGUGCAUUUGAAAUUGAUAUUCAAUCAUUCAUAUGCUGAGUACUCUUACAAAAAAAAAAAAGCA
This 406-nucleotide small RNA is filed under the name Histoplasma capsulatum var. duboisii H88. Its description in RNAcentral is "Histoplasma capsulatum H88 hypothetical RNA". Lineage: Eukaryota; Fungi; Ascomycota; Eurotiomycetes; Onygenales; Ajellomycetaceae. The record is from RNAcentral.